UACGUAGGGUGCAAGCGUUGUCCGGAAUUAUUGGGCGUAAAGAGCUCGUAGGCGGUUUGUCGCGUCUGCUGUGAAAACCCGCGGCUCAACUGCGGGCCUGCAGUCGAUACGGGCAGGCUAGAGUUCGGUAGGGGAGACUGGAAUUCCUGGUGUAGCGGUGAAAUGCGCAGAUAUCAGGAGGAACACCGGUGGCGAAGGCGGGUCUCUGGGCCGAUACUGACGCUGAGGAGCGAAAGCGUGGGGAGCGAACAGG
Molecule: ribosomal RNA, 253 nt
Filed under: uncultured bacterium
Lineage: Bacteria
Description: partial 16S ribosomal RNA
Rfam family: Bacterial small subunit ribosomal RNA
Source: RNAcentral